This 1134-nucleotide ribosomal RNA is filed under the name Enterococcus durans. Its description in RNAcentral is "bacterial SSU rRNA". It matches the Rfam family "Bacterial small subunit ribosomal RNA", at positions 67 to 1173 of the family's 1533-position model. The record is from RNAcentral. Lineage: Bacteria; Bacillati; Bacillota; Bacilli; Lactobacillales; Enterococcaceae.
CGCUUCUUUUUCCACCGGAGCUUGCUCCACCGGAAAAAGAAGAGUGGCGAACGGGUGAGUAACACGUGGGUAACCUGCCCAUCAGAAGGGGAUAACACUUGGAAACAGGUGCUAAUACCGUAUAACAAUCGAAACCGCAUGGUUUUGAUUUGAAAGGCGCUUUCGGGUGUCGCUGAUGGAUGGACCCGCGGUGCAUUAGCUAGUUGGUGAGGUAACGGCUCACCAAGGCCACGAUGCAUAGCCGACCUGAGAGGGUGAUCGGCCACAUUGGGACUGAGACACGGCCCAAACUCCUACGGGAGGCAGCAGUAGGGAAUCUUCGGCAAUGGACGAAAGUCUGACCGAGCAACGCCGCGUGAGUGAAGAAGGUUUUCGGAUCGUAAAACUCUGUUGUUAGAGAAGAACAAGGAUGAGAGUAACUGUUCAUCCCUUGACGGUAUCUAACCAGAAAGCCACGGCUAACUACGUGCCAGCAGCCGCGGUAAUACGUAGGUGGCAAGCGUUGUCCGGAUUUAUUGGGCGUAAAGCGAGCGCAGGCGGUUUCUUAAGUCUGAUGUGAAAGCCCCCGGCUCAACCGGGGAGGGUCAUUGGAAACUGGGAGACUUGAGUGCAGAAGAGGAGAGUGGAAUUCCAUGUGUAGCGGUGAAAUGCGUAGAUAUAUGGAGGAACACCAGUGGCGAAGGCGGCUCUCUGGUCUGUAACUGACGCUGAGGCUCGAAAGCGUGGGGAGCAAACAGGAUUAGAUACCCUGGUAGUCCACGCCGUAAACGAUGAGUGCUAAGUGUUGGAGGGUUUCCGCCCUUCAGUGCUGCAGCUAACGCAUUAAGCACUCCGCCUGGGGAGUACGACCGCAAGGUUGAAACUCAAAGGAAUUGACGGGGGCCCGCACAAGCGGUGGAGCAUGUGGUUUAAUUCGAAGCAACGCGAAGAACCUUACCAGGUCUUGACAUCCUUUGACCACUCUAGAGAUAGAGCUUCCCCUUCGGGGGCAAAGUGACAGGUGGUGCAUGGUUGUCGUCAGCUCGUGUCGUGAGAUGUUGGGUUAAGUCCCGCAACGAGCGCAACCCUUAUUGUUAGUUGCCAUCAUUCAGUUGGGCACUCUAGCAAGACUGCCGGUGACAAACCGGAGGAAGG